GGUGAGGUGUCCGAGUGGUUGAAGGAGCACGCCUGGAAAGCGUGUAUACGUUAAUAGCGUAUCGAGGGUUCGAAUCCCUCUCUCACCGCCA
Molecule: transfer RNA, 91 nt
Filed under: Pseudomonadales bacterium
Lineage: Bacteria; Pseudomonadati; Pseudomonadota; Gammaproteobacteria; Pseudomonadales
Also listed under: 2 other names
Description: tRNA-Ser
Rfam family: tRNA
About the family: Transfer RNA (tRNA) molecules are approximately 80 nucleotides in length.
Source: RNAcentral